Folsomia candida is the source of this 3178-nucleotide long non-coding RNA. RefSeq lists it as uncharacterized. The transcript is spliced from 3 exons. NCBI's taxonomy places the organism in Eukaryota, Metazoa, Arthropoda, Collembola, Entomobryomorpha, Isotomidae. The record is from RefSeq and is a predicted model, not a curated record.
UAAUUACAUUGGGCAGAUAACUGGUAUUCCGUUGAGGAAAAAUAACGCCAGUUUGCUUCUUGUUAUAGAAUCACAGGAAAAUGAGGAUGCAUGGCGUUGUGAAGCACGUAUGUUGUGCAUAUGUAAUUAGCCAACACGGAGCAAAGUAGCACUUACGAAAAUCUUACGGCUGGAGGGCCUUUGUAUGCAAGUACGUGAACUGAUUUUUUUAGAUGGGAAUCCAAAUGAUUCUCUCAUCCUCCGCAAUUUGGAAAAGUAAGAAUAACUCGAACGAACGGAGUCAUAAGUUUGGUGGAUGUGAUUACGAUUAUUAACAAGUAAAGCUUAUUGCACUGAAUAUUAAUCUGCCCGUCUACCCCAAUCUCAUCGAGAUAGAAAGCACAUUAGAUGUUCCCUCGUGAACUGAUAAAAGUUUGAUAUCUCAAAUUUCAUCAUCAACGGCAAUAAUGUACAGAGUGCCGUGCGAUAAAUGCUCAGAAGUUAAUAACAAGAGCAGCGAUGAGAGGACUCGUCGUCUCGCUGCAUGUUUCGUGAAACUCCUGCCUGGUGGUAAAUUAAGUAUGAAUCAUCUUCACGUACUUACAUAUAGCUCCAUUUACUUAAGUAGUUAGUAGCACUGCAUACAUACAUAUUUAUUAUUAUUAUACUUAUGUAUGUAUGUGGUAUAUUAUUAUAGUUGAGAGUUGUGAGGUAGCGUGGCAUGUAAUAUUAUGUAACCACAUACAUGGACUCGCAAGCAGACAGAACGUUGGUGCAGAUUGUGUGCAACCAACUUAAAUUAUAUUUUUCGGUUGGUCGAUUGGAUGUCAGGGCUUAAUCGCAAUGGGUAAUGGGUUUGGUUUGGAAACUUUUGAUGGUCGAUAAGACUUGGAGUCUAAGUUACACUCUUUAGUUGAAGGCACGUUCAGCGUAAUCUCUUCAUCAAGAUAAGUUAUGUGAGCAAUAUCUUUUCCUGCUCCUAUAGUGGCUCGAUAAUGUAAGUAAAAUAAACUGCUACAAUUUUCCAUCCGUGUAAUGCCUGUGUAGUUCCAAAGUUUGUACAUAGUUUCAUUGUGAUCAAUUUGGUUAACGUUGAGAGGGAAUUUUCCUUCUAAAAGUACGAUGCUCCUUGGUAAACAGAUUUCACAAAGUUAUUACAGCAGCCGAAGGAAACGUCAAAAUGGAAACAAAUGGUGCUUUGAGAAAGACGAUAAUAUUCCGUGGUGAUUGAUAACCCAGACACAAACUCUUAGAUUUUAAGAUAAAGCAUGAAAUCUUAAAGCGCAGCAGAACAAAUUGGACUAGGCGGGUUCACAGCGUGAUGCCAACAAAACAAAUAUAAGAUCGGAAUAUGAAACCAACCAGAUCACAAGUACCACGAAGGGUGGUUACAGUACGUACAAAAGUACAUAUUUAUAUUCAUUCGACGUUUAUCUCUUCCUGCACAGGAAGUUAGUCAAGAGUAGAUUCCCUUCGGAGAAAAAAAUAGCUAAAUAUGCACAUGCAUGGUCGUCCAAGUUCAAGAAGGAACAAAAUUACUUUUUUUUCUCUUCAACGCGACGACUCGUACUAAAAAUUUGAUGAUUAAAAUAAAAACACGACACGUUAUUUUAUGACAAUCUGGCUGGAAUUAUUAUAAGGACAUUUUUUGCCUCCUACGUACGUCUUCUCUUGUCGUAAGUACAUACAUCAACCGAACUUCCAAGUUAAAUUGCUUUUUUCAGUAUAUGCCAAAGAUUAGGCUGUUGGGAGGGAAGACCACCCCCUCGUCUCCUUCACAUCUAGCGUCUCUCAGAGCAUCAGGGUGCGUGCCUAAUUUAAUAAAGAGUUGAUGAUGUGGGGAAAGUAAGUUUGAGUGGAAAUAAAUUUUGGCACUUUGGAGACUGAUGAUGUGAUUUUUCGACACAUGGAAGGUACGCGAGUAUGGAUGGAUGUUGAGUGAAUGUGGGUGAUAGAUAUUAAACAUGGGAAAUGGGGAAAAUCUCGUGGAGUGUAAUAAAUUGUUUGGCAAAAGAGAAGACAUGGAAAAAUCAAGUUGUUAUCAGGACAGUGGCAGCCUCUCCCAGUGUUUUCUGUCUUCUUGGAUGUUCAGAAAGUGUCUUCUUGGAUGAAAAAUCUGCGAGCAAUCGAGUGUGGAUAUCAAUAGCAAACACCAAACAUAAAUUUGGUGUACACUACUUUCUCCUCUCGUGUAAUGCAUACAGGAGGGAGCAGAUCACACAUGAGGAACACUGCGGCUCCUCCGCAUUCUUCGCGAGAUGAGCCUCGGAUGUUAACACAUCUCCCUCCGUACACAUCCCACUUUCUUUAUUAUCUCUCAUCCUCCGUCUCAGCUUUCUCGUGCAGCCUGCUCGUGCCCCCGUCCUCCCUCUCCGCCCAAUCUCAUCCGCCAACCAGCCAACCCACCCAGCUCGCGUCGAUAUAUUUAUAAAUAUCACAUGAAAUACAUAUCCUCCACAAGUGACUUGCAGCCACCAAUACACCACUCUUGCCUAUUAACUAAAUAAACCAAUCCAUGUUUUCCCUCCUCAAUCUGUCUCUCACAGCAGCCUUUCUCCCACACCACGGCUUUCAUCUAAAUUCCUGAUCAGAAAUUCAGUUUUCUUUCCAACAUUACUUUUCUUUCGUGACUUGAUGCAAGAUUGUUUUCUUUAAGACGACUUUUCCUGGAUGGGCACAAGAGCUCAAUCUAUAAACAUGUGCUAAACAAUAAUUGCUUCCCUUUGUUCAAAUGCUCUUUACUGAAAACAUGAUAAAAAUUCUUUUUUCGCUUCGUUGCUCCAAAUCUUGCUCCGUAUCUUGUCUACAUAGUCACCAUUAUAGGCAUGUGCGUAUGUAUUACAUGACUGGGGGCAACUUGAGAAUGUUGCGACUUUUCCUUUCCCCUCUUUCUUUCUACUCAUCUUUCUAUUCAUUGUACCCAAUCUUCACCAUAUUCCAUGUAUAGAGUGCAUGCUUGUUGUAUUACUAUUAUUACUAUUAUUAUUAUUACUAUUACUUGGUAAAGUAGAGGGAAAUAUACGGCGCAGUCCUUUUCUUGAAUACAGACUGUUGUGCUAUUUAUAAAGAAAAUUUAGAAUCGGUCUCCUUUGCAUAAAGAAUUUUUGAUGAACAAUAUGGGCUGAUUUGCCAUGUUGCUCACGCUCACGCUAAUCAUUGCAAGUUCUGAUGACAUUUUAAAUAUAAAUUAGUUUAAAGU